GAUGAACGCUGGCGGCGUGCCUAAUACAUGCAAGUCGAGCGAACGGACGAGGAGCUUGCUCCUUUGAAGUUAGCGGCGGACGGGUGAGUAACACGUGGGUAACCUACCUAUAAGACUGGAAUAACUCCGGGAAACCGGGGCUAAUGCCGGAUAACAUGUUGAACCGCAUGGUUCAACAGUGAAAGACGGUCUUGCUGUCACUUAUAGAUGGACCCGCGCCGUAUUAGCUAGUUGGUGGGGUAACGGCCUACCAAGGCGACGAUACGUAGCCGACCUGAGAGGGUGAUCGGCCACACUGGAACUGAGACACGGUCCAGACUCCUACGGGAGGCAGCAGUAGGGAAUCUUCCGCAAUGGGCGAAAGCCUGACGGAGCAACGCCGCGUGAGUGAUGAAGGUCUUCGGAUCGUAAAGCUCUGUUGUUAGGGAAGAACAAAUGUGUAAGUAACUGUGCACGUCUUGACGGUACCUAACCAGAAAGCCACGGCUAACUACGUGCCAGCCGCCGCCGUAAAA
RNAcentral lists this ribosomal RNA (515 nucleotides) under uncultured bacterium. RNAcentral's name for it is "bacterial SSU rRNA". It matches the Rfam family "Bacterial small subunit ribosomal RNA", at positions 28 to 525 of the family's 1533-position model. The record is from RNAcentral.